This 380-nucleotide unclassified non-coding RNA is filed under the name uncultured Paenibacillaceae bacterium. Its description in RNAcentral is "contains 16S-23S intergenic spacer region". Lineage: Bacteria; Bacillati; Bacillota; Bacilli; Caryophanales; Paenibacillaceae. The record is from RNAcentral.
UCCGGUUUGUCACCGGCAGUCAUCUUAGAGUGCCCACCUUUCGUGCUGGCAACUAAGAUCAAGGGUUGCGCUCGUUGCGGGACUUAACCCAACAUCUCACGACACGAGCUGACGACAACCAUGCACCACCUGUCUCCUCUGUCCCAAAAGGGCCCAGCACAUCUCUGCGCUGUUCAGAGGGAUGUCAAGACCUGGUAAGGUUCUUCGCGUUGCUUCGAAUUAAACCACAUACUCCACUGCUUGUGCGGGUCCCCGUCAAUUCCUUUGAGUUUCAGUCUUGCGACCGUACUCCCCAGGCGGAAUGCUUACUGUGUUAACUUCGGCACCAAGGGUGUCGAAACCCCUGACACCUAGCAUUCAUCGUUUACGGCGUGGACUAC